CCGAGUUAGGGUCGCCCCCGCGCGCCCGACCUCCAACCCUUUGUCUACCCGACCUUAUUGUUGCUUCGGCAGGCCCGCCGCCCCUCGUGGGCGGCCGCCGGGGGCUUCACAGCCCCGGGCCCGCGCCUGUCGACGGCCCCAACCACAAACUCUUGUACUUAAACGUGUCGUCUGAGUUAACAAACAAAAUAAAUUA
RNAcentral lists this unclassified non-coding RNA (196 nucleotides) under uncultured Cyphellophora. Its description in RNAcentral is "sequence contains ITS1". The record is from RNAcentral. Lineage: Eukaryota; Fungi; Ascomycota; Eurotiomycetes; Chaetothyriales; Herpotrichiellaceae.